This 1546-nucleotide ribosomal RNA is filed under the name uncultured bacterium W5-102b. RNAcentral describes it as "16S ribosomal RNA". It matches the Rfam family "Bacterial small subunit ribosomal RNA". The record is from RNAcentral.
UUUCAUCGGAGAGUUUGAUCCUGGCUCAGGACGAACGCUGGCGGCGUGCUUAACACAUGCAAGUCGAACGAUAACGUACCUUCGGGUGCUAUUACAGUGGCGAACGGGUGAGUAACACGUGGGUAACCUGCCCUUGACUGGGGGAUAACCCGGGGAAACUCGGAUUAAUACCGCAUAAUGCACUUCCUCAUAUGAGGAAAUGUGAAAGUUGCCUUGUGCUUCGGUCAUGGAUGGGCCCGCGUCGGAUUAGUUAGUUGGUGGGGUAAUGGCCUACCAAGACCACGAUCCGUAGCUGGUCUGAGAGGACGAUCAGCCACACUGGGACUGAGACACGGCCCAGACUCCUACGGGAGGCAGCAGUGGGGAAUCUUGCGCAAUGGGCGAAAGCCUGACGCAGCAACGCCGCGUGAGGGAAGACGGCCUUAGGGUUGUAAACCUCUUUCAGAUGGGACGAAGCCGGGCUGGUGAUGAGCCAGACCGAUGACGGUACCUUCAGAAGAAGCUCCGGCUAACUACGUGCCAGCAGCCGCGGUAAUACGUAGGGAGCAAGCGUUGUCCGGAAUCAUUGGGCGUAAAGAGCGUGUAGGCGGCCAGGUCAGUCUGGUGUGAAAGCCCGAGGCUCAACCUCGGAAGGUCACUGGAUACUGCCUGGCUAGAGUCCGGAAGAGGAGAUCGGAAUUCCUGGUGUAGCGGUGAAAUGCGCAGAUAUCAGGAGGAACACCUAUUGCGAAGGCAGGUCUCUGGUACGUGACUGACGCUAAGACGCGAAAGCGUGGGGAGCGAACAGGAUUAGAUACCCUGGUAGUCCACGCCGUAAACGAUGGAUGUUAGGUGUGGGUGAUUUUCGAUAUCGCCCGUGCCGAAGCUAACGCGUUAAACAUCCCGCCUGGGGAGUACGGCCGCAAGGCUAAAACUCAAAGGAAUUGACGGGGACCCGCACAAGCAGCGGAGCAUGUGGUUUAAUUCGACGCAACGCGAAGAACCUUACCUGGGCUUGACAUGUCUCGGACAAACGUGGAAACACGCUUCCCUUACGGGCCGAGUCACAGGUGGUGCAUGGCUGUCGUCAGCUCGUGUCGUGAGAUGUUGGGUUAAGUCCCGCAACGAGCGCAACCCCUGUCCUAUGUUGCCAGCAUUAAGUUGGGGACUCAUAGGAGACUGCCGGUGAUAAACCGGAGGAAGGUAGGGAUGACGUCAAGUCAGCAUGCCCCUUACGUCCAGGGCUACACACGUGCUACAUUGGCCGGUACAAAGGGCUGCGAAACAGUAAUGUUGAGCGAAUCCCAAAAAGCCGGUCUCGGUUCGGAUUGAGGGCUGAAACUCGCCCUCAUGAAGGUGGAGUUGCUAGUAAUCGCGGAUCAGCAACGCCGCGGUGAAUACGUUCCCGGGUCUUGUACACACCGCCCGUCACACCACGAAAGCCAGUAAUACCCGAAGCCUGUGGCCCAACCUUUGGGAGGGAGCAGUCGAAGGUAGGACUGGUGAUUGGGGUGAAGUCGUAACAAGGUAGCCGUAGCGGAAGCUGCGGCUGGAUCACCUCCUUUCU